This is a non-coding RNA of Prunus mume (Japanese apricot), 244 nucleotides long. The record is from RefSeq and is a predicted model, not a curated record. Lineage: Eukaryota; Viridiplantae; Streptophyta; Magnoliopsida; Rosales; Rosaceae.
GCCAAAUGAAGCUGAAAGCACAAGUACUCAAGUAGUAGAAACAGUUGAAGCAAAAAUUCUUGGAACUGAAGAUGUGACAGAACAAAAUGAAGAUGAAAACAAUGUAAACUUGGUUGAAGGAGAUAAGACAAUCUCCAGUAUUCAAGAAGAAGACUUGCUAGGAAAAACUCCUGGAACUGACGAUGCACUUUACAAAGCUGAAACCACAAAAAAGUUGGUUGACGGAGAUGAGACAAAUUCCAGC